Molecule: ribosomal RNA, 253 nt
Filed under: uncultured bacterium
Lineage: Bacteria
Description: partial 16S ribosomal RNA
Rfam family: Bacterial small subunit ribosomal RNA
Source: RNAcentral
UACGGAGGGGGCAAGCGUUGUUCGGAAUUAUUGGGCGUAAAGCGUAUGUAGGCGGCUAAGUAAGUCAGGCGUGCAAGCCCGUGGCUCAACCACGGAAUUGCGUCUGAAACUGCCUAGCUUGAGUACAGGAGAGGAAAGCGGAAUUCCCAGUGUAGCGGUGAAAUGCAUUGAUAUUGGGAAGAACAUCUGUGGCGAAGGCGGCUUUCUGGUCUGUUACUGACGCUGAGAUACGAAAGCCAGGGUAGCGAACGGG